This 660-nucleotide ribosomal RNA is filed under the name Chryseobacterium sp. 73_a_2. RNAcentral describes it as "bacterial SSU rRNA". It matches the Rfam family "Bacterial small subunit ribosomal RNA", at positions 57 to 718 of the family's 1533-position model. The record is from RNAcentral. Lineage: Bacteria; Pseudomonadati; Bacteroidota; Flavobacteriia; Flavobacteriales; Weeksellaceae.
GCAGCCGAGCGGUAGAGUCUCUUCGGAGACUUGAGAGCGGCGCACGGGUGCGGAACACGUGUGCAACCUGCCUUUAUCUGGGGGAUAGCCUUUCGAAAGGAAGAUUAAUACCCCAUAAUAUAUUAAGUGGCAUCACUUGAUAUUGAAAACUCCGGUGGAUAGAGAUGGGCACGCGCAAGAUUAGAUAGUUGGUGAGGUAACGGCUCACCAAGUCUGCGAUCUUUAGGGGGCCUGAGAGGGUGAUCCCCCACACUGGUACUGAGACACGGACCAGACUCCUACGGGAGGCAGCAGUGAGGAAUAUUGGACAAUGGGUGAGAGCCUGAUCCAGCCAUCCCGCGUGAAGGACGACGGCCCUAUGGGUUGUAAACUUCUUUUGUAUAGGGAUAAACCUAGAUACGUGUAUCUAGCUGAAGGUACUAUACGAAUAAGCACCGGCUAACUCCGUGCCAGCAGCCGCGGUAAUACGGAGGGUGCAAGCGUUAUCCGGAUUUAUUGGGUUUAAAGGGUCCGUAGGCGGAUCUGUAAGUCAGUGGUGAAAUCUCACAGCUUAACUGUGAAACUGCCAUUGAUACUGCAGGUCUUGAGUGUUGUUGAAGUAGCUGGAAUAAGUAGUGUAGCGGUGAAAUGCAUAGAUAUUACUUAGAACACCAAUUGCGA